RNAcentral lists this ribosomal RNA (440 nucleotides) under uncultured bacterium. RNAcentral describes it as "partial 16S ribosomal RNA". It matches the Rfam family "Bacterial small subunit ribosomal RNA", at positions 339 to 795 of the family's 1533-position model. The record is from RNAcentral.
CUACGGGACGCUCCAGUGGGGAAUAUUGCACAAUGGGCGAAAGCCUGAUGCAGCAACGCCGCGUGAACGAUGAAGGCCUUCGGGUUGUAAAGUUCUUUUCUUGGAGAAGAAUCCAUGACGGUAUCCAAGGAAUAAGCCCCGGCUAACUACGUGCCAGCAGCCGCGGUAAUACGUAGGGGGCAAGCGUUAUCCGGAAUCACUGGGCGUAAAGGGAGUGUAGGCGGUCAAGCAAGUCAGGGGUGAAAGGCAUCGGCUCAACCGAUGUAAGCCUUUGAAACUGUUUGACUUGAGUGCAGGAGAGGUAAGUGGAAUUCCUAGUGUAGCGGUGAAAUGCGUAGAUAUUAGGAGGAACACCAGUGGCGAAGGCGACUUACUGGACUGUAACUGACGCUGAGGCUCGAAAGCGUGGGGAGCGAACAGGAUUAGAUACCCCUGUAGUC